Molecule: ribosomal RNA, 1356 nt
Filed under: metagenome
Description: bacterial LSU rRNA
Rfam family: Bacterial large subunit ribosomal RNA
Source: RNAcentral
CUUAGUUGCUGGCAAUAGACCCGAAACGGAGGUGAUCUAACCAUGACCAGGAUGAAACUUUGGUAACACAAAGUGAAGGUCCGAACCGGUCAAUCUUGAGAAAUUGUCGGAUGAGUUGUGGUUAGGAGCGAAAGACUAAUCAAACCCCGUGAUAGCUGGUUCUUUCCGAAAUAUAUUUGGGUAUAGCGUCGAGUGCUGAUUUGCGGAGGUAGAGCACUAAAUAAGCUAGGGCCCCUACCGGGGUACUGAACUUAAUUAAACUCCGAAUACCGCAGAGUGAAGCUCGGCAGUCAGACGGUGGGGGAUAACCUCCAUCGUCGAGAGGAGAAUAGUCCAAACCAUCAGUUAAGGUCCCAAAAUACGGCUCAGUGAAAAAGGAUGUGAUUUUGCUCAGACAAUGGGGAUGUUGGCUUAGAGGCAGCCAUCAUUUAAACAGUGCGUAACAGCUGACCCAUCGAGCGAAAUUGCGCCGAAAAUGAUCGGGACUUAAGCCGUAUACCGAAGCUAUGGGUUCACCGCAAGGUGAGCAGUAGGAAAGCGUUCCAAGUGCAGCGAAGUGGAAGGGUAACCGACCAUGGAGCGCUUGGAAGUGAGAAUGCAGACAUAAGUAACGAUAAAGCCGGUUGAAAUCCGGCUCGCCUAAAUUCCAAGGUUUCCUGGGGAAGGUUCGUCCUCCCAGGGUUAGUCGGGUGCUAAGACGAGGCCGUAAGGAAUAGUCGAUGCCAAACUGGUUUAAUAUUCCAGUACCGUCCGAAACCGUUUGAUCCGUAGAAUGACGGAGAAAGUUAAUCUAGCGACGUGUUGAAUCGUCGUCGAAGCUCGUAGGUUCGCCGGGGUUAAAAGACCGGCUUAGUCUGAAAAGCGACAGGACCCUGAAGCCACGGCUGAUGGGGAUUAGAUGAUACUAUGCUUCCGAGAAAAGUUCUCCGGUUAGGCCAAGGACGCCCGUACCGUAAACCGACACAGGUGGAAAAGAUGAGUAUUCUAAGGCGCGCGAGUUAAAUCUCUCUAAGGAACUCGGCAAAUUAGCCCCGUAUCUUCGGUAUAAGGGGUGCCCCGCAAGGGGCCGCAGUUAAUUGCGUCAACCGACUGUUUAGCAAAAACACAGCACUCUGCUAAGUCGCAAGACGAUGUAUAGGGUGUGACACGUGACCAAUGCGGAAAGGUGAAAGCCUAGGGUGCAAGCUCUGGGUCUAAGCCCCCGUGAAUGUCGGCCGUAACUAUAACGGUCCUAAGGUAGCGAAAUUCCUUGUCGGGUAAGUUCCGACCCGCACGAAUCGUGUAACGAGUUGACGACUGUCUCGGAGAGAGGCUCGGUGAAAUUGUAGUGGCGGUGAAGAUGCCGCCUACCCGCAG